UACGUAGGGGGCGAGCGUUGUCCGGAAUUACUGGGCGUAAAGAGCGCGUAGGCGGCUCUGCAAGUCGCAUGUGAAAGCCCCAGGCUUAACUUGGGGAUUGCAUGCGAAACUGCGGAGCUUGAGUGCGGUAGAGGAAAGUGGAAUUCCUAGUGUAGCGGUAAAAUGCGCAGAUAUUAGGAGGAACACCAGUGGCGAAGGCGACUUUCUGGGCCGCAACUGACGCUGAGGCGCGAAAGCGUGGGGAGCAAACAGGAUUAGAUACCCUGGUAGUCCACGCUGUAAACGAUGAAUACUAGGUGUAGGGGGUAUCGACCCCCCCUGUGCCGGAGCAAACGCAAUAAGUAUUCCGCCUGGGGAGUACGACCGCAAGGUUGAA
RNAcentral lists this ribosomal RNA (376 nucleotides) under uncultured bacterium. Its description in RNAcentral is "bacterial SSU rRNA". It matches the Rfam family "Bacterial small subunit ribosomal RNA", at positions 524 to 898 of the family's 1533-position model. The record is from RNAcentral.